This 216-nucleotide long non-coding RNA is filed under the name Theobroma cacao (cacao). Its description in RNAcentral is "long non-coding RNA (TCAC_LNC006175)". The record is from RNAcentral. Lineage: Eukaryota; Viridiplantae; Streptophyta; Magnoliopsida; Malvales; Malvaceae.
CGAAAUUUGGAAAUUGUUCCUUUUGAUCCAGAAAUCGAAAAGACUUUUUGAAGACUUCGGAGGUAAAAUAAAAAAGUUUUUGCUCCAAGUAAAAUAAUGGUUGAUCAACAAAAGGAAGAGACCAAGCCUUUGAGGGAUAAUGUUAUCCCAUGAGUACAAAAUCUCCACUCUAGUAUCCGAAGACCUCCUAUUCAAGCCAACAACUUUGAAAUUAAG